GACGUAGGGGGCGAGCGUUGUUCGGAAUCACUGGGCAUAAAGCGCACGUAGGCGGCUUUGUAAGUUAGAGGUGAAAGCCCGGGGCUCAACCCCGGAAUUGCCUUUAAGACUGCAUCGCUAGAAUUGUGGAGAGGUAAGUGGAAUUCCGAGUGUAGAGGUGAAAUUCGUAGAUAUUCGGAAGAACACCAGUGGCGAAGGCGACUUACUGGACACAUAUUGACGCUGAGGUGCGAAAGCGUGGGGAGCAAACAGG
Molecule: ribosomal RNA, 253 nt
Filed under: uncultured bacterium
Lineage: Bacteria
Description: partial 16S ribosomal RNA
Rfam family: Bacterial small subunit ribosomal RNA
Source: RNAcentral